GACGAACGCUGGUGGAGUGCCUUAUACAUGCAAGUCGAGCGGGAUCUUAUAGCUUGCUAUAAGUGAGAGCGGCGAACGGGUGAGUAACGCGUGAGAAACUUGCCCCCUCAGUUGGGGAUAGCCCUCCUAACGGAGGAUUAAUACCGAAUAUUGUUGUUUGUUUCGUGAUUUACAACGAAAGGCUUCGGUCGCUGGGGGAUAGUCUCGCGUAAGAUUAGCUUGUUGGUGAGGUAACGGCUCACCAAGGCGACGAUCUUUAGCCGGCCUGAGAGGGUGAUCGGCCACAUUGGGACUGAGAUACGGCCCAGACUCCUACGGGAGGCAGCAGUAGGGAAUAUUGCACAAUGGGGGAAACCCUGAUGCAGCAACUCCACGUGUGGGAUGACGCAUUUAGGUGUGUAAACCACUGUCGGAUGGGAAUAAAACGGCUUUUGCCGGAAGAACGUACCAUCAAAGGAAGCACCGGCUAACUUCGUG
This 477-nucleotide ribosomal RNA is filed under the name uncultured bacterium. RNAcentral describes it as "bacterial SSU rRNA". It matches the Rfam family "Bacterial small subunit ribosomal RNA", at positions 28 to 507 of the family's 1533-position model. The record is from RNAcentral.